Molecule: ribosomal RNA, 267 nt
Filed under: uncultured bacterium
Lineage: Bacteria
Description: partial 16S ribosomal RNA
Rfam family: Bacterial small subunit ribosomal RNA
Source: RNAcentral
GACGAACGCUGGCGGCGUGCUUAACACAUGCAAGUCGAGUCGGUAAGGCCCUUCGGGGUACACGAGCGGCGAAACGGGUGAGUAACACGUGGGUGACCUGCCCUCAGCUCUGGGAUAAGCCGUGGGAAACUGGGUCUAAUACCGGAUAUGACUCCAUGACGCAUGUCGUGGGUGGAAAGCCUUGUGCGGCUGGGGGAUGGGCCCGCGGCCUAUCAGCUUGUUGGUGGGGUGAUGGCCUACCAAGGCGACGACGGGUAGCCGGCCUGA